AAGCCGAAUGAUGAUUUUUUGGAUUAAUUCUCACGACGGUCGUCUGAGGCACCUUUUGGUGCCGAAAUUGAUGUAAAGAUCCAAACUUUCUGAUUGGUU
RNAcentral lists this small nucleolar RNA (99 nucleotides) under Nicotiana sylvestris (wood tobacco). Its description in RNAcentral is "Small nucleolar RNA Z161/Z228". It matches the Rfam family "Small nucleolar RNA Z161/Z228". Rfam says of the family: Z161 and Z228 are members of the C/D class of snoRNA which contain the C (UGAUGA) and D (CUGA) box motifs. Most of the members of the box C/D family function in directing site-specific 2'-O-methylation of substrate RNAs. The record is from Rfam by way of RNAcentral. Lineage: Eukaryota; Viridiplantae; Streptophyta; Magnoliopsida; Solanales; Solanaceae. RNAcentral also lists the same sequence under 1 other name.